UAAAGGAAGCGAUUCCGGCUACGGACGGUCAUGCGUCGCAUUAGCUAGUUGGCGGGGUAACGGCCCACCAAGGCGACGAUGCGUAGGGGUUCUGAGAGGAAGGUCCCCCACACUGGUACUGAGACACGGACCAGACUCCUACGGGAGGCAGCAGUGAGGAAUAUUGGUCAAUGGCCGCAGGGCUGAACCAGCCAAGUCGCGUGAGGGAUGACGGUCCUAUGGAUUGUAAACCUCUUUUGUCAGGGAGCAAAGGGCGCCACGUGUGGCGCUUUGCGAGUACCUGAAGAAAAAGCAUCGGCUAACUCCGUGCCAGCAGCCGCGGUAAUACGGAGGAUGCGAGCGUUAUCCGGAUUUAUUGGGUUUAAAGGGUGCGCAGGCGGAAUGUCAAGUCAGCGGUAAAAUUUCGGGGCUCAACCCCGUCGUGCCGUUGAAACUGGCGUUCUUGAGUGAGCGAGAAGUAUGCGGAAUGCGUGGUGUAGCGGUGAAAUGCAUAGAUAUCACGCAGAACUCCGAUUGCGAAGGCAGCAUACCGGCGCUCAACUGACGCUCAUGCACGAAAGCGUGGGUAUCGAACAGGAUUAGAUACCCUGGUAGUCCACGCAGUAAACGAUGAAUACUAACUGUCCGGGCAGAAUGAUGCCUGG
RNAcentral lists this ribosomal RNA (644 nucleotides) under uncultured bacterium. RNAcentral's name for it is "bacterial SSU rRNA". It matches the Rfam family "Bacterial small subunit ribosomal RNA", at positions 202 to 842 of the family's 1533-position model. The record is from RNAcentral.